This 733-nucleotide non-coding RNA is filed under the name Pongo abelii (Sumatran orangutan). Lineage: Eukaryota; Metazoa; Chordata; Mammalia; Primates; Hominidae. The record is from RNAcentral.
AGAAAAGAUGACGAGAAGGAGAGGUCUUAGAACACAUCCUUAUCUGAAGGACAGGAUACAGUCUUGUUUUAGGAAACUCCAGCUGCUCUGUGUCAUUGAAAGGGAAGAGGAGAGACCAGAUGGUCCACGUUCGCCACGGCACCGGGAAGGACCUGAGACUGACUGCAGGCCCUUCAUGAAAGCAAAGCCUGGGUGUGUUAUAACCGCCAAUCCCACUCUCCCACAGUGAGGUCCAUCCCGGCAGAGGCUGAGUCCACCUUGACCACUGAGACAAACAGACCUGGCGAUGGACUCAGUGUUUUUAAACUGUGGAGCUUGGACAGGGAGGGGCGAGAUGGAGAACGAGGUAUACACUAAAGAGAACAACGUGAUGAGGGCAUGAAGUGUGCUUACCAACCUUCCCUCACCCAGAGGCUGGAAGAGAUUUUAGAGCUUAACAGAAAAACAGUGGGAAAAGGACACUGCUGGGCAAAAGACAUGAACUAAAAACUUCUUGGCUGUCCCCAUCAGUGGCACGGUGGUCUCAGCAGUACCGAUGUGGAUACUCAAGAACGUGAGGCUACCGUGGAAAUGCUUUGCUUAAACCACGGGUGAGUUUCCAAGGAGUGAAGAUCCCCAGGGAAAGCAUCUAGGACCCUGCCGUGUUGGCCCAGCUCUGGGAAGUCAAUCGACGUGGACCCCUUACUGUGUUAACUGCUAACCAGCCUUCUGUAAAAAUGAUAUUGCAAAUUCA